Molecule: ribosomal RNA, 373 nt
Filed under: uncultured organism
Description: partial 16S ribosomal RNA
Rfam family: Bacterial small subunit ribosomal RNA
Source: RNAcentral
GUAGGUGGCAAGCGUUGUCCGGAAUUAUUGGGCGUAAAGCGCGCGCAGGCGGUUCUUUAAGUCUGAUGUGAAAGCCCACGGCUCAACCGUGGAGGGUCAUUGGAAACUGGAGAACUUGAGUACAGAAGAGGAAAGCGGAAUUCCACGUGUAGCGGUGAAAUGCGUAGAGAUGUGGAGGAACACCAGUGGCGAAGGCGGCUUUCUGGUCUGUAACUGACGCGGAGGCGCGAAAGCGUGGGGAGCAAACAGGGAUUAGAUACCCUGGUAGUCCACGCCGUAAACGAUGAGUGCUAAGUGUUAGGGGGUUUCCGCCCCCUUAGUGCUGCAGCUAACGCAUUAAGCACUCCGCCUGGGGAGUACGACCGCAAGGUUG